GAUUAAUUUGUGCAUGAGUGCUGUUUAUUUGAGCUUAUUUGCUUAUUUCAGGCAGUCAGAUAAAACAUCUCUGGUUCCGGUUUAAUUAAUGACAAAAGAACUGGGUGGCCCUAUUUACCGUACCGUAAUAGAGUCCUGCCAAUUCGAUGUCAUAUGCAUUAAAGUUUACAGAGUAGGCCUUCAAGCCUUCGUCAGCAAGGGAAUAUGCUGUAAAAAGGGGUAAAGCAGAGAAGAAGAAAAAGGGCUCUUCCUUCCCAAAGGCUCGACACCGCGUAUAGAAAAAGGUGUUUUUCCAGAAACACUACCCAACUGGGUGAAUGAAAAGUGAGGCAGACUCAAUGCCACAACGGCUCUUUCCCUUCUGCCGUCUUUUAAUUGUUUUACCUUUUAGUGCUUUUUGUUGUAACUGCCUCAGAACGUUUCAAAGUCUUUUCCGGGGAAAAUAAGGGGGUGGAGCCAAAACGUGCUAUUUUGCGUCAGCUAAAAUUUCAAAACCUGUUCCAUAAUAAAAAUCGCACAUUGUG
Long non-coding RNA from Nematostella vectensis (starlet sea anemone), 524 nucleotides. RefSeq lists it as uncharacterized. The record is from RefSeq and is a predicted model, not a curated record. Lineage: Eukaryota; Metazoa; Cnidaria; Anthozoa; Actiniaria; Edwardsiidae. The transcript is spliced from 2 exons.